Thunnus maccoyii (southern bluefin tuna) is the source of this 1888-nucleotide long non-coding RNA. RefSeq lists it as uncharacterized. The record is from RefSeq and is a predicted model, not a curated record. The transcript is spliced from 3 exons. Lineage: Eukaryota; Metazoa; Chordata; Actinopteri; Scombriformes; Scombridae.
CUUGAAUUGUCUUUACGAUGUUAGAGAAGCAUAUAGAGCACCAGCUUCUGAUGCAUUUGUGCAUAGAAAUACAAAACCAUCCGAGAAGUCACCCAUGAAAACUGCUUGGAAAACGGGCAGGCGCUUUCCAAAAAUACUUGGCAGUAUCCCUACAAAUUACGUCCACAUUGGACCACACAGUUGACGUCUGAUGCCAACGAGCGGCGGCGAGGCAGCGAAGCAGAAGUUCUCUUUCCAUCACAGAGUUGUAAUUAAUGUACUCGUUUAUUAACUGUAACCAUAAUCUACCCUUUCCUUAACCAAGUGUUUAGUUGCUGAACCAUAAUUUAACCAUGGUGUCUUUGCCAUAACCACAAUCCUUACCUCACAUUAAUCAUACUGUUACCGUGCACUGAUGUUACGGAAGUGACAAUUUUAAAACUGUUGUCAUUGGACGUGAUCCGUGGUUUGCAGAAAUGUUCAGUGUUCUUGUGUGGCGGUAGGAUUAUUUUUUCCUAUAAUUUGGUGUCAUGUACUUCUAGCUGUGGUCUAAUUAGCAUAAACUGCUGUCGAUGUUAAAACAAAUCAUGCAGUUGUAGCUAGCGUUGAGUGUUAUGACGGCAUAAAAUGAAAUGUGUCCACUCAGACUUUCUACUGAAACAGCGAUCUCUUUAAAAUCUCUGGUUGUAUUUUGCUGGCAAUGUUGUAAAUUAAUGAGCAGGACUGUUUUGUGUCAUUAUUGGCUUUAAGGAAGUUUUACAGCAAUGAUUGAUUUUUCUAUGAAUGGGUUCUUAAAUGAAUUUAAAUGUACUAUAUACCAAUAUAUAUUGAAACUGCAACAUAAAAUGACAUACAAAGCGUUUGAAAAUGUUAUCAACAUCACCCUCAUCUUGUAUGACAUCUUAAUGGCAUUUCACAUAUAUGUGGAGUUCAGCAACAUGACUUGAAAUUAAUCUUUGAGACAAAAUUUCUCCAGAAAUCAUGGAGCCAUCAGCCAAUCAACUGUGUAUCCAGAUACAUUUGUUUCUAAAUAUUAUGUUAUUAAAACAGAACACUUGUAGCGGACUGUUAGUAAGUUAUUAGCUUUCUGUCUUUGCUAUUUUUAAGGAAGCGUUUAGCAUAUUACCAACACUAAUUACAGUAAUUAUUUUAACUUUGCAGCAUCACUAUACUUAUUGUAAACAAGAUGAAGAAGCAACAUAAUAAAAGCAACACAGUACAACAGAGAGUUUGUGUAGUUGCAAGUGUCUUUUAUUCUUUUCUCAGACACAAUAGAGCACAUAACCCAGAGCACAAGGGGACUAGAGGGUGUAUGAGACGUGUAUGUCCUGUGAUGAUAGAGAAAUGACUGAUCCAAUGCAAUGUUUGGACAGAAAUGCUAUCACUCAGGCUGAGCAAAGCAAUUCAGUAGAGUUUUUUUUUUUUUUAUGUCAACUUGCAAUAACAAAUCAUACGUGCACUUCUUAUUUGCAAUAUUAAAAAACACAUUUCUAUAAAUUACUGUUAAUGUCGUCGGCGGCGGUGGUGUCUCUCACAUCGGCUGGCGGCUCUGACAUCAGCCAGCAACAGUUUGUUUUGAGUCCAUGAUGUUCUGCAAUGAUUCGUUUCUCUGUCUCUACAGUACAAAUCUCCAGCUCUAUGUUCAAGUGAUAUCUACUGUCAAUAAAUGUAAGAGGACUCUGCAAAAUAAAAACGCUUUAACACAUCAGUCAAAGCUAUAUUUUGAUUAAACACAGUUCUGCAGUUGACACAGCACUGAAAAUGACAGUAGAAUCAAUCACUUAUACUGUAAACUGAUAGCAGUUACAAAUUAAUCUGUUCCACAACAGUAAUAUAUUCAUUUAUAAUUUUCCUCAUAGUUCUCAUUUAUACAACACUGGCUUUAAAGUCAACAUCUUUAAUUUCUUAA